AGCACGGACCAAGGAGUUCAGCGUGUACGCGAGUCAUUGGGUGAAAAAACCCAAAGGCGUAAUGAAAGUGAAGGGAACUUUACGUUUCUGAGGGAGGAUGAGUCGGUUACCCGCAAGGGGCUGCUCCGCACUCCCGGGGCGUCUCUUUCUCAUUGCGAGUGGAGGCGCACCCAGAGCGUACACGCUGAUACCCGAAAGAUGGUGAACUAUGCCUGGCCAGGACGAAGCCAGGGGAAACCCUGGUGGAGGUCCGCAGCGAUUCUGACGUGCAAAUCGAUCGUCGGAGCUGGGUAUAGGGGCGAAAGACCAAUCGAACCAUCUAGUAGCUGGUUCCCUCCGAAGUUUCCCUCAGGAUAGCUUGCGCUCACGUGAAAGAGUCUCAUCCGGUAGAGCGAAUGAUUAGAGGCCUUGGGGUCGAAACGACCUCAACCUAUUCUCAAACUCCAAAUAGAUGAGAACUCCGGCUUUCUUGAACUUUGUUUUUGAAGCCGGGGGCUCGGAUCAGAGUGCCAAGUGGGCCAAUUUUGGUAAGCAGAAGUG
This 540-nucleotide ribosomal RNA is filed under the name Eremotylus sp. Msp333. Its description in RNAcentral is "partial large subunit ribosomal RNA". It matches the Rfam family "Eukaryotic large subunit ribosomal RNA", at positions 658 to 1152 of the family's 3401-position model. Lineage: Eukaryota; Metazoa; Arthropoda; Insecta; Hymenoptera; Ichneumonidae. The record is from RNAcentral.